UUAAAUUGAAGAGUUUGAUCAUGGCUCAGAUUGAACGCUGGCGGCAGGCCUAACACAUGCAAGUCGAGCGGAAACGAGUUAUCUGAACCUUCGGGGAACGAUAACGGCGUCGAG
Molecule: ribosomal RNA, 114 nt
Filed under: Vibrio parahaemolyticus
Lineage: Bacteria; Pseudomonadati; Pseudomonadota; Gammaproteobacteria; Vibrionales; Vibrionaceae
Description: partial 16S ribosomal RNA
Rfam family: Bacterial small subunit ribosomal RNA
Source: RNAcentral